This 71-nucleotide transfer RNA is filed under the name Phytophthora infestans (potato late blight agent). RNAcentral's name for it is "tRNA-Pro". Lineage: Eukaryota; Oomycota; Peronosporomycetes; Peronosporales; Peronosporaceae. The record is from RNAcentral.
GGCCUUGUGGUCUAGUGUAUGAUUCUCGCUUAGGGUGCGAGAGGUCCCAGAUUCGAUCUCCGGCAAGGCCC